GAAGGAGAGACAGGGAUGAGGAUCGAGGUUUCGGAAGGAGGGAUCGGGAUAGGGUUUCGAGCGCAAGGGGGAUCCGGACCAGAGCGAGAAGGGCUGGAGGGAUGAACCGCGGGUUAUUCCUACGCCCAGGCCGAACGCGAGACCGGUCACCCCGACGCGGCAGGAGGAGAGAAGGGAUGCGUCGCCUGCGCCGAGAGAGCCGCCCAAGGAUGGAAGCAGAGAGGGGUCUCCGGUCAGAGAAAAGAGAGAUGAGCCCCCAGCAACGCGCAAGCCAUUGAAUCUGAAACCGCGCACAGCGCCCAUCAGCAACACACCUGAGGUAGUGCCAAGCUCUGUGUUCGGGAACGCCAAGCCUGUUGACACAGCAGCGAAAGAAAGGGAACUGGAAGAAAAGUGGAAAGCGCGAGGCCGGCCAGAGCGAGAGCCCAAGGAAGGCGGCGAAAGGGAGCGCACCGAUAGAGAUGCUGACAGAGAACGAGGAGACCGGGACCGUGAACGCGGUGACCGGGACCGUGAACGUGGUGAUCGGGACCGUCCCAGAGGUGACCGAGAUCGCGACAGAGGUGACCGAGAUCGCGACAGAGGUGACAGAGAUCGUGAUAGAGGUGACAGAGACAGGCGUCGUCCUUUCAACCGGGACAGGGACCACUUUAAGGAUCGAGACUCAGACAACAGGCCAUCAAAAGAGAAUGAACCUCCAAAAGAAGGAAAAAGUUUUGAGCCUGCACCACCUCCGAAAGAAAACGCUUGGACCAAGCGUCCUCAACUAUCGGCGAACAAUGGUCUGCCUGAAUCGGAUGAAUCAAAGAUAGUCAAGAAGGUAGAAUCUGAGCCCAAAGAACAGAAGGAAGAAGUGAUUUCUGAAAUUAAGCCGAAAGCUGCUCCUGUCGAACCGGCGGCAAAAGAACCUAGUAAACCGAAAGAAAUCAUCUCCAACGAUGCUAAAACGAAUUCACAACCCAUCACCGAGUCAAAGAAAAGUGAUACAACCGUUAACAAUCGUGCACCUCCAAAAGCGAGUGAGCCAGUCAAACCUAUCAAACCUCAACUGCAAGAACGGCAGGACCCCGAAGAGCCAGCAUCAGGUGACGGUGAUGACAGCGAGUGGAGCACCAAAGUCUCAAGAAUUGAACCAUCUGAAGAGAUCCAAUCAUCAAAAAUGCUCAAAGCUAAAGAACAAAAACCUCCUAAUUUUGCAACAGUCAACAAAUACGCUCUUUUUGAUGAUGAUCCAGAAGACAUCAACAAACCGAACUGAUUUUUUCAAAUAUCGCACCCCUAUUUUUGUCCCUUUCAAUUCUAUUCAUUAUCGCUCAUGGUUCAUCCAUGGUUAUUCAGUAACUUAACCCUUGCCUCCAACUUAAAGAUAAUUUUAUGUAACAGAAUUUUAGUGUGUCCCAUCUAAUGAUUACAGAUCCUUUACUUAUGUUCGUUGUACUUUCAUCGAUUGGCCCCGUAUCCUCUUAUUUUCACCAUAAAUUAUUUUGUCCAGAAUUUUCUUUGUCUGUCACUGAAACUACAAGGCUGAAUUUUUUUUUUUUUUUUUUUUUCUAAAUUAAUUUUUCAUGUUUAAUUCUCAAAAGAUGUUGAACAUCAGGAAUCCCAAGCGUUAAGUUAAGUAUCCAAUUGGGCCUGUCGGUUUUUUUUUUUUAUUUAUUUUUUUUUUUUAUUAUUUUUGCAUUUUUCCUGAAAAAUUUUCCUCUUUUCCUCACAAUUUCAAAAAAUUGUUAAUUUUUUCUUCAGCCAAGAAAAUAUUUCUUUCUUUUUUCUCUUUAUUUAUGUUUUUUUUUAAUUGUAAGUGAAAUUUGUCUAGAGACUUAAUCACUCCCUUUCUUGUGAAUAUAACUUCGCGAGUACAUACUGGAUAUUUAUUCUGUACCUACACUAUGUAUGUAUGUAUCAAUUGUGAUUUUAUAUUCUACGAUUCAACCAAGCGUUGCAGUCGCAACAAAAUUGCUAAAAGGUAUUUUUAUACUAUUUUUACUUCCCUGAUACGCAGUGUUACCAUUUCUAAGGCAGCUUAAUUUUCUAUGAGACGGAGACCCAGACUCAUCGAUAGAGACUUCAAUGUGCUGGGUCAUCGUCCUCAAAAACGAAAAAAAAUUGUCUGGAAACGGUACCCCCGCUGAAAGUCUGAGGAACUUUUCCAAGUCAGGGUUUGAGUGCUCUGUGUGUGCGUGUGUGUACAUUUAAGUAUGGAUGAAGUCGAUCGUCCGAAUAUUGGAAUUCGGCAAUCGGCAGAUUUUGUUGUAAUCUACUCCCGAAAACUUUCAGUCCUGUUUUUGGUCUUCUUUGCAUCAAUCACGCCACGUCAGUUUUGUCAGUUUGCAGAAAAAUUGCCCAAUCCUUUAAGUUCUGAUGGUUCUUUAACCAUUUUGUCUGUAGUAUGUAAUUUUCAGUCUGAAGUGAACAGUACGCAUCUUGAUUUGUCCGGGCGCAAGAGAAUUUAGUUCAUUGUUGUUAGAACCAGAAUAAGUUUGAUGUUCGUUUUUAAUAGCUGCUCACGUAAUUCCAGAUCUGAUCGUAUAACUUUCAGAUAGUUGGAUGAAACUCUAAAUUCUUGCAUUAUAAACCAAGAAGAAGUAAUUUCUUCUUCCUAUAACUGACAAAUUUGUCAACGUCUUUAUUUUCGUUAGAGUUAUAAAUUGAGUUCUCUAGCAUUAAUAAUUUGAGAUAAUUAGAGGCCUGUGAUAAGAAACUGCAAUAUUCUAGUCAUGGCUCCUUCUCUCCUUAGACUGAGAAAUUUUAUCAUUCCGAAGUUGACAAUUGUGAAUCAAUUUUGCUCAAUUUGAAAGCACAAGUAAACUUAAUUGUUUCUUUUAUUUUGCCGAGUUGCAACAUUGAUAUGUUCUCUUUUAUGCAUAAUCAUGCUUUUCAAGAUGUUUUACCCCUGUUUUGCACAGAAAUCAUGAUGAUGAAAAAUAUCAAAUAAAAAUUACAAAUUCUAUAUUUAGACGUUUCCUGUAUUUACAUUUUGCAAUUUUUUUUUUCCGAGUAAAAGGUAUAAGUUCAAGUAAAUUAUCAGUAAAAAUACCUUCAAUCAACAAAUUACUAUUGUCCUCAUUGUUCUAUCUACGUAUUCGUUCGUCAUCUGAAUUAAUUUCUUGCGCUCGGAUAAACAGAAGCUAAUGUUAAGUAUUAUUCUUUUGCCUUUUUCAUCAGUUUUCUUUUUUUUUUGCGGCCCUCACCGCUCCACGCAAUUUAUCAGUUUGAAUCUACUCCAAUGUACAUAAUACUACACGCAUAUAGGUUAUUAAUUGAUUAGUUAAUUCAAUAUUUUGGUGUAUUUGUUUACCUUUUAAUGAUUGGUUUUUAAUAUUGUUGCAACUGAAACCUUAGUUUGUUUAUAAAUUGAAUAAACUUACUAUUAUAUUUGGUAAACUGUUUUGUCUGAUCUUGAAUUGUCUCUCCUUAUGGCUAAAUUUAAUAUGGUUACCAAGUUUCUUCCUUUCAUAAACCACUGGAUAUUUUCUCCGUUCCGAGCUUCGAAAUUGUAUCCUAGUAGGUUUCUUACUUUGACUGUUUUAAAAGAUGCACAAUCUCUCGGCACCAACAAAGAAAGAGAAUGAAUUUUUGUAAAGAAUGAAAAAUCAAGCUGAGUUUAGCAAAAAGGAACCAACUCUUUUGGUAUCUUUUAGGAACAACUCCUAAGGAUUCCUCUUCCAAAUCAGAAUAAAAUGAGUCGAACACUAACUUAGAUAAUAAUUGAAUUUUCACAGUAGAGUUGCAAAAUAACCUAAUUAGUGUGUACACUAAGAUCCCUAUCUCAAUCUAAUGGCACAAUUCCUCUGACAUUACACUUAUAAAACUUGUAAAAUAAUUUGAAAAAGAAAAAAAAAAUAUACCAAGCAAUCCAUCCCCACCCCAAGAAUAUUUUAUGAAGAAAAUACCAUGUAUAGACUUCCUUAAAAGAUUUAUUAUAUAUUUUGUUUGGAAGUAAUUUAUUCCGUACAUCACGAUAUUCAACCAAAUGUUUUCAUACAACCGACAUACAUGGAAGUCUUACAGUAGGGAAGUAGAUAUCUCCUUUGAUUUUUUUCAUCCGAAGGAGGUACCCAUUAUUAUCACAGAUAUUUAACUUAGCUCUUAACACAAUAAAACUUAACGGUGAUAAAUACAUACAAGCAACUUGUUGGUAUGGAAUAGAGAAAUCUCAUUUUGCAGAAAAUAUUACAUAUUCAAGAGGCGAAGAACAUGCGUAACGCUUCGACAAAUCGUCAGCUCUUUAAAGCAUUGAUCUCAUUUUCUUGUACAGAAGAUAUUUCAGAGAUUUGUAAAAUGUCCACUUUAAUUUUGUCUAUCAUCCUAAGUCUCUUACUCAUGUCAUACGUAUUAAAUUUUCGAACUGAACUUGCUGAUAAAUUUUUUUGAAAGACUCUCCUGUGUGUGUAGACCUCUGAUUUUAAAUGAAUCCUCAGAGUAAAUAGCAAUGCUCGCCUAAUAUCGACAGCAAAACUUAUAAAGCUUGUAUCUCAUCUGCGGUGCACGUUGGGACGAUCCCGGAAAAAGUGGGACAUUUGACUACUGUGCGGUGAAAAUAUUCGAAUCCAGAAAUUGCAUAAC
RNAcentral lists this long non-coding RNA (4563 nucleotides) under Bemisia tabaci. RNAcentral's name for it is "lncRNA ENSSSA2NGG005417". Lineage: Eukaryota; Metazoa; Arthropoda; Insecta; Hemiptera; Aleyrodidae. The record is from RNAcentral.